RNAcentral lists this long non-coding RNA (674 nucleotides) under Portunus trituberculatus (swimming crab). RNAcentral's name for it is "uncharacterized LOC123514319, transcript variant X2". The record is from RNAcentral. Lineage: Eukaryota; Metazoa; Arthropoda; Malacostraca; Decapoda; Portunidae.
GAUGGAAGCACGCGCCGAGGUGACAGCGAUGCUCACUGCGUCUGUGUUGUGAUAGAGUAUUUGUCAAAUAAUCAGUCUCAUCAACAUGUGAGGGGAACAAGAUAUGGGCGAGCAAUCUAACACUAAGGUGCCCUACAAGAAGCUCCUAAUGCACGAUCAGAACAGCUUGUAGCUCCACUAGAUCGGCCAGGAAACCCGCCAGAAACACAGUUAGCACGUGGACAUCAUUCAACAUCCAAAUCCAAAAUGGUCGAAAGGAACAUCACCAGCUGACCAACAACAACUGGGAGGAUCACUAAGAUUGGAAGAAUGACAAUGGAAGAAUAGAAGAAGAGGAGGAAGAAACAGAUGAGCAGCAACUUGAGAAACUAAGAGGAGAAGGACAGGAGGAAAAGGAGGUGAAAAAGAAACCAGAUAGGGAAGCUGGUGAGGGUGCUGGUACAGCUACAGCCAUAGCCAGUCCCAGGAAACAUGCCAGGUCAGAAGGAGUGGCCACAGCACUUGAAGGUCACAAGCAGGGAAAGGAUCGUCAAGCAUAAGAGCACACAAUUUAAGCAAUGUACAAGUCCCCGUUAGGAGCAAAUGCAAGGCUCUGAGGGGACCGAAGUGUUGUGUGAGCAGCUAAAUCAGAAGGUGCAUCAUGGCUCAGUGGUGGACAAUGAAGAGGUCUUCCA